ACUUUGAAAGUGGUAAGCGUAUUAUACGCACCUCGCUGACGUGCUAAGGCACUGAAAGCCAAGCUCUUUAACAAUAUAAACCAAUCAAUCUG
This 92-nucleotide small RNA is filed under the name Vibrio cholerae O1 biovar El Tor str. N16961. The record is from RNAcentral. Lineage: Bacteria; Pseudomonadati; Pseudomonadota; Gammaproteobacteria; Vibrionales; Vibrionaceae.